Molecule: ribosomal RNA, 384 nt
Filed under: uncultured bacterium
Lineage: Bacteria
Description: bacterial SSU rRNA
Rfam family: Bacterial small subunit ribosomal RNA
Source: RNAcentral
AUUGAACGCUGGCGGCAUGCCUUACACAUGCAAGUCGAACGGUAACGCGGGGCAACCUGGCGACGAGUGGCGAACGGGUGAGUAAUGCAUCGGAACGUACCCAGUAGUGGGGGAUAGCCCGGCGAAAGCCGGAUUAAUACCGCAUACGACCUAAGGGUGAAAGCGGGGGACCGUAAGGCCUUGCGCUAUUGGAGCGGCCGAUGUCAGAUUAGGUAGUUGGUGGGGUAAAGGCCUACCAAGCCUUCGAUCUGUAGCUGGUCUGAGAGGACGACCAGCCACACUGGGACUGAGACACGGCCCAGACUCCUACGGGAGGCAGCAGUGGGGAAUUUUGGACAAUGGGCGAAAGCCUGAUCCAGCCAUGCCGCGUGCGGGAAGAAGGCC